UUUGGUUAAGUUAGAAAGGGCGCACGGUGGAUGCCUUGACACUAGGAGUCGAUGAAGGACGGGACUAACGCCGAUAUGCUUCGGGGAGCUGUAAGUAAGCUUUGAUCCGAAGAUUUCCGAAUGGGGAAACCCACCAUACGUAAUGGUAUGGUAUCCUUAUCUGAAUACAUAGGGUAAGGAAGACAGACCCAGGGAACUGAAACAUCUAAGUACCUGGAGGAAGAGAAAGCAAAUGCGAUUUCCUGAGUAGCGGCGAGCGAAACGGAACAUAGCCCAAACCAAGAGGCUUGCCUCUUGGGUUGUAGGACAUUCUAUACGGAGUUACAAAGGAACGAGGUAGACGAAGCGACCUGGAAAGGUCCGUCGUAGAGGGUAACAACCCCGUAGUCGAAACUUCGUUCUCUCUUGAAUGUAUCCUGAGUACGGCGGAACACGUGAAAUUCCGUCGGAAUCUGGGAGGACCAUCUCCCAAGGCUAAAUACUCCCUAGUGAUCGAUAGUGAACCAGUACCGUGAGGGAAAGGUGAAAAGCACCCCGGAAGGGGAGUGAAAGAGAUCCUGAAACCGUGUGCCUACAAAUAGUCAGAGCCCGUUAACGGGUGAUGGCGUGCCUUUUGUAGAAUGAACCGGCGAGUUACGAUCCCGUGCGAGGUUAAGCUGAAGAGGCGGAGCCGCAGCGAAAGCGAGUCUGAAUAGGGCGUUUAGUACGUGGUCGUAGACCCGAAACCAGGUGAUCUACCCAUGUCCAGGGUGAAGUUCAGGUAACACUGAAUGGAGGCCCGAACCCACGCACGUUGAAAAGUGCGGGGAUGAGGUGUGGGUAGCGGAGAAAUUCCAAUCGAACCUGGAGAUAGCUGGUUCUCCCCGAAAUAGCUUUAGGGCUAGCCUUAAGUGUAAGAGUCUUGGAGGUAGAGCACUGAUUGGACUAGGGGUCCUCAUCGGAUUACCGAAUUCAGUCAAACUCCGAAUGCCAAUGACUUAUCCUUAGGAGUCAGACUGCGAGUGAUAAGAUCCGUAGUCAAAAGGGAAACAGCCCAGACCGCCAGCUAAGGUCCCAAAGUGUGUAUUAAGUGGAAAAGGAUGUGGAGUUGCUUAGACAACUAGGAUGUUGGCUUAGAAGCAGCCACCAUUUAAAGAGUGCGUAAUAGCUCACUAGUCGAGUGACUCUGCGCCGAAAAUGUACCGGGGCUAAAUACACCACCGAAGCUGCGGAUUGAUACCAAUGGUAUCAGUGGUAGGGGAGCGUUCUAAGGACAGUGAAGUCAGACCGGAAGGACUGGUGGAGUGCUUAGAAGUGAGAAUGCCGGUAUGAGUAGCGAAAGACGGGUGAGAAUCCCGUCCACCGAAUGCCUAAGGUUUCCUGAGGAAGGCUCGUCCGCUCAGGGUUAGUCAGGACCUAAGCCGAGGCCGACAGGCGUAGGCGAUGGACAACAGGUUGAUAUUCCUGUACCACCUCUUUAUCGUUUGAGCAAUGGAGGGACGCAGAAGGAUAGAAGAAGCGUGCGAUUGGUUGUGCACGUCCAAGCAGUUAGGCUGAUAAGUAGGCAAAUCCGCUUAUCGUAAAGGCUGAGCUGUGAUGGGGAAGCUCCUUAUGGAGCGAAGUCUUUGAUUCCCCGCUGCCAAGAAAAGCUUCUAGCGAGAUAAAAGGUGCCUGUACCGCAAACCGACACAGGUAGGCGAGGAGAGAAUCCUAAGGUGUGCGAGAGAACUCUGGUUAAGGAACUCGGCAAAAUGACCCCGUAACUUCGGGAGAAGGGGUGCUUUCUUAACGGAAAGCCGCAGUGAAUAGGCCCAAGCGACUGUUUAGCAAAAACACAGCUCUCUGCGAAGCCGUAAGGCGAAGUAUAGGGGGUGACACCUGCCCGGUGCUGGAAGGUUAAGGAGAGGGGUUAGCGUAAGCGAAGCUCUGAACUGAAGCCCCAGUAAACGGCGGCCGUAACUAUAACGGUCCUAAGGUAGCGAAAUUCCUUGUCGGGUAAGUUCCGACCCGCACGAAAGGUGUAACGAUUUGGGCACUGUCUCAACCAGAGACUCGGUGAAAUUAUAGUACCUGUGAAGAUGCAGGUUACCCGCGACAGGACGGAAAGACCCCGUGGAGCUUUACUGUAGCCUGAUAUUGAAUUUUGGUACAGUUUGUACAGGAUAGGCGGGAGCCAUUGAAACCGGAGCGCUAGCUUCGGUGGAGGCGCUGGUGGGAUACCGCCCUGACUGUAUUGAAAUUCUAACCUACGGGUCUUAUCGACCCGGGAGACAGUGUCAGGUGGGCAGUUUGACUGGGGCGGUCGCCUCCUAAAGUGUAACGGAGGCGCCCAAAGGUUCCCUCAGAAUGGUUGGAAAUCAUUCGUAGAGUGCAAAGGCAUAAGGGAGCUUGACUGCGAGACCUACAAGUCGAGCAGGGACGAAAGUCGGGCUUAGUGAUCCGGUGGUUCCGCAUGGAAGGGCCAUCGCUCAACGGAUAAAAGCUACCCCGGGGAUAACAGGCUUAUCUCCCCCAAGAGUCCACAUCGACGGGGAGGUUUGGCACCUCGAUGUCGGCUCAUCGCAUCCUGGGGCUGUAGUCGGUCCCAAGGGUUGGGCUGUUCGCCCAUUAAAGCGGUACGCGAGCUGGGUUCAGAACGUCGUGAGACAGUUCGGUCCCUAUCCGUCGUGGGCGUAGGAAAUUUGAGAGGAGCUGUCCUUAGUACGAGAGGACCGGGAUGGACGCACCGCUGGUGUACCAGUUGUUCUGCCAAGGGCAUAGCUGGGUAGCUAUGUGCGGAAGGGAUAAGUGCUGAAAGCAUCUAAGCAUGAAGCCCCCUCAAGAUGAGAUUUCCCAUAGCGUAAGCUAGUAAGAUCCCUGAAAGAUGAUCAGGUUGAUAGGUUCGAGGUGGAAGCAUGGUGACAUGUGGAGCUGACGAAUACUAAUAGAUCGAGGACUUAACCAUAUAA
This 2927-nucleotide ribosomal RNA is filed under the name Bacillus thuringiensis serovar coreanensis. RNAcentral's name for it is "bacterial LSU rRNA". It matches the Rfam family "Bacterial large subunit ribosomal RNA". The record is from RNAcentral. Lineage: Bacteria; Bacillati; Bacillota; Bacilli; Caryophanales; Bacillaceae.